AGCGAACGCUGGCGGCAUGCUUAACACAUGCCAGUCGCACGGGCAGCAAUGUCAGUGGCGGACGGGUGAGUAACGCGUAGGAACGUGUCCUGAGGUGGGGGACAACCCCGGGAAACUGGGGCUAAUACCGCAUAUGGGCUGAGGCCCAAAGCCGAGAGGCGCCUUUGGAGCGGCCUGCGUCCGAUUAGGUAGUUGGUGGGGUAAAGGCCUACCAAGCCUGCGAUCGGUAGCUGGUCUGAGAGGACGACCAGCCACACUGGGACUGAGACACGGCCCAGACUCCUACGGGAGGCAGCAGUGGGGAAUAUUGGUCAAUGGGCGAAAGCCUGAUCCAGCAAUGCCGCGUGGGUGAAGAAGGUCUUCGGAUCGUAAAGCCCUUUCGACGGGGACGAUGAUGACGGUACCCGUAGAAGAAGCCCCGGCUAACUUCGUG
RNAcentral lists this ribosomal RNA (433 nucleotides) under uncultured bacterium. RNAcentral's name for it is "partial 16S ribosomal RNA". It matches the Rfam family "Bacterial small subunit ribosomal RNA", at positions 30 to 507 of the family's 1533-position model. The record is from RNAcentral.